This 393-nucleotide ribosomal RNA is filed under the name uncultured bacterium. RNAcentral's name for it is "partial 16S ribosomal RNA". It matches the Rfam family "Bacterial small subunit ribosomal RNA", at positions 523 to 918 of the family's 1533-position model. The record is from RNAcentral.
AUACGGGGGAUUCAAGCGUUAUCCGGACUUAUUGGGUUUAAAGGGUGCGUAGGCUGAUAAAUCAGUCAGCGGUGAAAUUUACGGGCUUAACUUGUAGCUUGCCGUUGAAACUAUUUAUCUAGAGAUAUUUCGGCGUAUGCGGAAUGUAUCAAGUAGCGGUGAAAUGCAUAGAUAUGCUACAGAACACCAAUCGCGAAGGCAGCAUACGAGGCAUCAUCUGACGCUGAUGCACGAAAGCGUGGGGAUCAAACAGGAUUAGAUACCCUGGUAGUCCACGCAGUAAACGAUGAUUACUCGCUGUUUGCGAUACACAGUAAGCGGCUUAGCGAAAGCGUUAUGUAAUCCACCUGGGGAGUACGUUCGCAAGAAUGAAACUCAAAGGAAUUGACGGGG